Small nucleolar RNA from Meriones unguiculatus (Mongolian gerbil), 128 nucleotides. The record is from Ensembl. NCBI's taxonomy places the organism in Eukaryota, Metazoa, Chordata, Mammalia, Rodentia, Muridae.
GCUGCCCCCUUAGGGGUGCUGCAGGUGUGGCUUCGGUAUCACUUGUGAAUCUAUAGGUGGCAGAGAGGAGAAAGGCCAUGUCUAUGCUCAGUGUCUGUGAACAUCUGAAUGAUUAGUAGCCUAGCAUU